UACGGAGGAUGCGAGCGUUAUCCGGAUUUAUUGGGUUUAAAGGGUGCGCAGGCGGAAUGUCAAGUCAGCGGUAAAAUUUCGGGGCUCAACCCCGUCGUGCCGUUGAAACUGGCGUUCUUGAGUGAGCGAGAAGUAUGCGGAAUUCCUAGUGUAGCGGUGAAAUGCGUAGAUAUUAGGAGGAACACCAGUGGCGAAGGCGGCCUGCUGGGCUUUUACUGACGCUGAGGCUCGAAAGUGUGGGGAGCAAACAGG
This 252-nucleotide ribosomal RNA is filed under the name uncultured Bacteroidales bacterium. Its description in RNAcentral is "partial 16S ribosomal RNA". It matches the Rfam family "Bacterial small subunit ribosomal RNA", at positions 524 to 776 of the family's 1533-position model. The record is from RNAcentral. Lineage: Bacteria; Pseudomonadati; Bacteroidota; Bacteroidia; Bacteroidales.